CUCCCUGUGGCUCAGUUGGUAGAGCAUGGUGUUUGCAACACCAGGGUUGUGGGUUCACUUCCCAUGGGGGACC
Molecule: transfer RNA, 73 nt
Filed under: Salmo salar (Atlantic salmon)
Lineage: Eukaryota; Metazoa; Chordata; Actinopteri; Salmoniformes; Salmonidae
Rfam family: tRNA
About the family: Transfer RNA (tRNA) molecules are approximately 80 nucleotides in length. Their secondary structure includes four short double-helical elements and three loops (D, anti-codon, and T loops).
Source: Rfam by way of RNAcentral